Molecule: ribosomal RNA, 2413 nt
Filed under: Lepidodermella squamata
Lineage: Eukaryota; Metazoa; Gastrotricha; Chaetonotida; Chaetonotidae
Description: eukaryotic LSU rRNA
Rfam family: Eukaryotic large subunit ribosomal RNA
Source: RNAcentral
CAUAUCACUAAGCGGAGAAAAAGAAAAUAACUAUGAUUCCUAGAGUAACGGCGAGUGAAAUAGGAUUAGCCCAUAGCCGAAUUCCGCUGUCCUCGACGGCAGCUGGAAGUUGUGGCGUUGGGAACUGCCUAUUGUAACCGAUCGGUCGGGCAACGCGACUCCUCUUGAUUGUGGUUUUGCCCAUAGCAGGUGAAAGGCCUAUAGUCGUAGCUUCGAGUCGAAGACCGGCGGUGAUGGCAGUCCUUAGAGUCGGGUUGUUUGGGAUUGCAGCCCGAAGCAGGUGGUAAACUCCACCUAAGGCUAAAUACGAUCGCGAGUCCGAUAGCGCACAAGUACCGUGAGGGACAGUUGAAAAGAACUUUGAAGAGAGAGUUCAAAGUACGUGAAACCGUUCAGAGGUAAACGGGUAGAAAGUCGAAUUGAAGGCUGACAAUCAGGCCGUUGGCUAAGUCUGAGUUGGGCUGGUAGCACGUUAAAGGCUGCCAGUUUGCUCGCAUGGCUGGCUAUGGUUGUAUUUGUUGGCUUUGGAUCGCCGCGACGGCAGUGUCUGACCGGUUGGUGUUGGUUCCUCUGGUUAGCUAGGAUCCGUAUGGGUCUUUUAGUUGGCACACGGACUGGCAUCCCGCGUACACAGCACAGCCGAUUUACCUUCGAUUUCAGUGCUUCAUCUGGCUGUUGUUCGUUGCGUAUUGGUAGUCUGAUGUUAAAUAACUUCACCUGCUAACAUCGUGGCGGCAGCGGUUGGUUUAAUGACGAAGCUAAAAUCGUUCAGUGGCGUUAGACUACGAAUUAUCUACCUGACCCGUCUUGAAACACGGACCAAGGAGUCUAACCUGUGCGCAAGUCAUUGAGAUUACAAAACUCAAAGGCGUAGUGAAAGCAAUUUCGGUGAGAUCCGUCAUUUUAUCGUUAAGAUUAAUGGCGGCGCAUCAUCAUCACGCUACAACUCGGCUUCGGCUGUGGUAGCGCAGAUUGAGCGCACAAGUUGGGACCCGAAAGAUGGUGAACUAUGCGUGGCGAGGUCGAAGCCAGAGGAAACUCUGGUGGAGGACUGUAGCGGUUCUAACGUGCAAAUUGAUCGUCGCAGCUGCGUAUAGGGGCGAAAGACUAAUCGAACCAUCUAGUAGCUGGUUCCCUCCGAAGUUUCCCUCAGGAUAGCUGGCACUUUUUAACAUAGCAGUUUUGUCCGGUAAAGCGAAUGACUAGAGGCCUUGGGGACAUAACGACCUCAACCUAUUCUCAAACUUUGAAUGGGCAAGAAGAGUAACUCACUUAAUUGGAGUCGCUCAUCUUUAAGAAUGCUUGAGUGCCAAGUGGGCCAUUUUUGGUAAGCAGAACUGGCGCUGUGGGAUGAACCAAACGUUUAGCUAAGGUGCCAAAUGCUAACGCUCAUCCGAACCCAUUAAAGGUGUUGGUUGAUAGAGACAGCAGGACGGUGGCCAUGGAAGUCGGAACCCGCCAAGGAGUGUGUAACAACUCACCUGCCGAAUCAACCAGUCCUGAAAAUGGAUGGCGCUGAAGCGUUGUGAACCUAUGCUAGACCGGCAUUGCAAAUUUUUACAAAUCAUGCUAUGCCGAGUAGGAGGGUCGCUGUGGUAUGCGUUGAAGGUUAGGGCGAGAGCCCGACUCGAGCUUCCACAGGUGCAGAUCUUGGUGGUAGUAGCAAAUAUUCAAACGAGAGCUUUGAAGGCCGAAGUGGAGAAGGGUUCCAUGUGAACAGCAUUUGAACAUGGGUCAGUCGGUCCUAAGCGAUAGGCGAAUGCCGUUCUGAAAGCAGGCUUGAUUUUUAAUAUUUAAUUAUAUUUGAUUAUCUUUAUGCCUGAUUUCGGUCGAAAGGGAAUCGGGUUAAUAUUCCCGAACCUGGACGCGGAGAUGGAGUCGUAGGCAACUGCGGCUCAGUGCGGUAACGCAAACGAUCUCGGAUUAGUCGGCGAGAGUCCUGGGAAGAGUUCUCUCUUCUUUGUAAGGGGCUGAAUCCCUGGAAUCGGCUUAGCCGGAGAUAGGGAUAUUGCAAGUUCCCGUAAAGCAUCACACUUCUUGUGAUGUCCGGUGCACGAUUGUCGACACUUAAAAGUCCGAGCUAGACGUUCAUAAUGUUCGCGCCAGGCCGUACCCAUAUCCGCAGCAGGUCUCCAAGGUGAACAGCCUCUGGCCAAUAGACUGAUGUAGUCAAGGGAAGUCGGCAAAUUGGAUCCGUAACUUCGGAACAAGGAUUGGCUCUAUGGGUUGGGCCGUGACGGGCUGUACGAGGAAGCGAUGCCUGCUAUUGGUGCUUUGGGUCUGGCUGGCAACGGCUGGGCCUAGCGCCGAUUGGCGGCGCGUGGAUCUUGUAUGGCUUCUGUCGGCGAUCUUCGGGUCGUCGGCAUCGUUCGGCAAAAAGCAACCGCCAUAGAACUGGUACGGACCAGGGGAA